This 651-nucleotide long non-coding RNA is filed under the name Musa acuminata (dwarf banana). RNAcentral describes it as "long non-coding RNA (MACU_LNC004348)". Lineage: Eukaryota; Viridiplantae; Streptophyta; Magnoliopsida; Zingiberales; Musaceae. The record is from RNAcentral.
CAUAUUCCUUUGGAUGAGGAGGCAUCCAUCUUCACGACUCUCUGUUUCCAUGGGUGAUGCCUGCUGCUGCUGCUCCCGUCAGUCUUAGCUAUCACCAUGUCCACCUUCACAAUGUGAUGAUCCGAAGUGCCUUUGGAUGAGAGCACACCGUAAGAACCAGGCACAAAUUUGUAGGGCGAGUAUGGUGAGGACAGGAUGUAAUCUACUCUCGUCCCAUACUUGCAGGUCCCCUGCACAUCUACAAGUAGAAUUGAGAGCAGAACCAUUACUUCUCCUGCAGCAAUCUGAGCUCGAGCACAACCAACUGGCGGGGGAAUGGUUGAUUACCUUGCCCCUUGGCGACCACAACAACAGCUUCACAUUCCCCUGCGAAGUUCUUGGCAUCCAGGUACUGUUUCCCCCUUAGGAACUUCAUCACCUCAACUUUGGGCGUUGGCUUCCCAAUUUCUUCAUAAUACUGCAAGAGAUCAGUAAUGUUCAGAAGCUUUGCAUGGUACAAAGAGAUGGCCUCCCCAACUUCUGCAGACAAGGAUUCAUAGGAAGACUACCUUGACGAUAUCCGCCCAUCUCUCUGCAGAGUAGUCUGUUUCAUCAAGAGAGUUGAGGCCACCAACCAGGAUGUGAGGUCGGUCACUGGAACGUAGUAUCGAG